Molecule: ribosomal RNA, 253 nt
Filed under: uncultured bacterium
Lineage: Bacteria
Description: partial 16S ribosomal RNA
Rfam family: Bacterial small subunit ribosomal RNA
Source: RNAcentral
UACAGAGACUGCAAGCGUUAUUCGGAUUCACUGGGCGUAAAGGGUGCGCAGGCGGCCGUGUGUGUGAGGCGUGAAAGCCCGAUGCUUAACAUCGGAAUUGCACCUCAAACUACACGGCUAGAGCAUUGGAGAGGGUAGCGGAAUUCACGGUGUAGCAGUGAAAUGCGUAGAUAUCGUGAGGAGCACCAGAGGCGAAGGCGGCUACCUGGACAAUUGCUGACGCUCAGGCACGAAAGCGUGGGGAGCAAAAGGG